This 1262-nucleotide long non-coding RNA is filed under the name Equus caballus (horse). RNAcentral's name for it is "lncRNA (ENSECAG00000045530.1)". The record is from RNAcentral. Lineage: Eukaryota; Metazoa; Chordata; Mammalia; Perissodactyla; Equidae.
CUUAUUGUUUGUUAAGAUGAGAAACAGGUGCACAAGCCAGCAAGGCUCCAUUCCUCUGUUAACAAAAGGGUUUGUUGUCAGUUUUCCCCAUCUCGCCCUUUAGCUGGGCUCUGACUGGAAAGGCAGAAUUCGACCUCAGUUCCAGAGUGAAGCACAGGGAACCAGUAUCAGCCUGGGGAGCUGACUGCGAGCUGCCCGCUGGAUGCUCAUCAGUUUUCGGAACACAGUGGUAGCCCGGCCUCCAAGGGUGGAAGAGCAAGUAGAACAUCCCUGAGGGGGCUGCCUGGAGCCGAAGGCUGAGUGACUGCUUUACCAGACUUUGGUGCCUGGAAACUGGGAUGUCCUUGCAAGCAGCUAAGCUGGAGUGGAGCUGGAAAGAUAACGUGGGUGCACAGAUACGUGAUUCGCCACUCAAGUCAAUAGAGAUGCUCCACAUCAGCAGUCUCCAGAGGCUGUCUUGAGCAUACAGACUCAAGUUAACCUUUGUUCACAAAAGUCCUAUUUUGAGCUUCAUGACUUUAUUUUCCUCUGCAGUGGAUACCCAUCCCAAACUUCUCCCUAGGCCCUGUUCCGGAUGAAGCUACCUUGACUGGAAUGGCCUUGCCCUAUUUAUUCAACGGCAUGUGUUAGUAUGCAUGUUUUUUUUCUUGCUGAGGAAGAUUCCCCCUGAGCUAACAUCCAUACCAAUCUUCCUCCAUUUUUUAGUAUGUGGGCUGCCAGCACAACAUGGCCUCUAACAGAAAGGUGUAGAUCUGCAUCCAGGAACUGAACCAGGGCCACCUGAUGUGGAGAACACUGAACUUAACCACUAGGACACCAGGACUGGCCUUAUAUUUGCUUAAAAAAAAAAAAAUCAUACUACAGGAAACUAUGACAUGCUAACUAGGUCCUUUUACCUGACCAGGAGAAGUUCCCCCAUGUCCUUGGCUGCCCUUGUUCUCUUGGUUAAAAUGAUGUGAACCGUUCCACAUGUCUGCUUGUCCUCUCCUUGCUUGUCCCUCUCCCACCCUAAAGACUGGCUAACCUGCACAGUUUCUCCUCAGUUUGCUACAUUAACUCUUUCUGGUUUAACCAGGUAAACGUGAGGUCUUUCCUCUCUUCCAAAACCAUAGAUUUCCCCUAUGAUCGGACUUUCCUCAUCACACACUGAAUGAACUCACUACCUCGUCACCGACUGCUCAGACCCCAAAGCAUCCUGUGCCUCAAAGCUGAGCCAGCCUGGUCUCCAUCUAGGACAGCACUGCUUCUCUGAGUCUUGGCCU